ACUAGAGAUCAUCAGCAGUGCAUUCAGCAUCACGAGGAGAUUCAGUGUUAAUGUCACUGCUGUUCCUGAUUCAGGUCUGUCUCCAGCUGUUGUAGCAGGAAUAUCUGCAGCUCUUGUUCUGCUGACAGUGACUGCAGCUGCUGUGGUUUACUAUCGCCGCAGACCAAAGCAUGGCGACGGGAAGAAGACCGAAUAUCAGGUGAGAUACUGUGUGCAAUUAAUCUCCAAAAAUGAUGUUUACAACAGUUUCAGAUCUGUGUUAUCUGUGUAUGUAAAGUUUUCUGUGUAUGUUAUAUUGUGUGCCGUGUCUAGGGAAUAGAAAUGCUAU
Molecule: long non-coding RNA, 328 nt
Organism: Carassius auratus (goldfish)
Lineage: Eukaryota; Metazoa; Chordata; Actinopteri; Cypriniformes; Cyprinidae
Exons: 3
Source: RefSeq, a predicted model, not a curated record